GGCGGACGGGUGAGUAAUACUUAGGAAUCUGCCUAUUAGUGGGGGAUAACGGCUCGAAAGGGUCGCUAAUACCGCAUACGUCCUACGGGAGAAAGCAGGGGAUCGUAAGACCUUGCGCUAAUAGAUGAGCCUAAGUCGGAUUAGCUAGUUGGUGGGGUAAAGGCCUACCAAGGCGACGAUCUGUAGCGGGUCUGAGAGGAUGAUCCGCCACACUGGGACUGAGACACGGCCCAGACUCCUACGGGAGGCAGCAGUGGGGAAUAUUGGACAAUGGGGGGAACCCUGAUCCAGCCAUGCCGCGUGUGUGAAGAAGGCCUUAUGGUUGUAAAGCACUUUAAGCGAGGAGGAGGCUCCCGUAGCUAAUAUCUACGGAGAGUGGACGUUACUCGCAGAAUAAGCACCGGCUAACUCUGUGCCAGCAGCCGCGGUAAUACAGAGGGUGCGAGCGUUAAUCGGAUUUACUGGGCGUAAAGCGUGCGUAGGCGGCUUUUUAAGUCGGAUGUGAAAUCCCCGAGCUUAACUUGGGAAUUGCAUUCGAUACUGGGAAGCUAGAGUAUGGGAGAGGAUGGUAGAAUUCCAGGUGUAGCGGUGAAAUGCGUAGAGAUCUGGAGGAAUACCGAUGGCGAAGGCAGCCAUCUGGCCUAAUACUGACGCUGAGGUACGAAAGCAUGGGGAGCAAACAGGAUUAGAUACC
This 694-nucleotide ribosomal RNA is filed under the name Acinetobacter sp. RNAcentral describes it as "bacterial SSU rRNA". It matches the Rfam family "Bacterial small subunit ribosomal RNA", at positions 97 to 786 of the family's 1533-position model. The record is from RNAcentral. Lineage: Bacteria; Pseudomonadati; Pseudomonadota; Gammaproteobacteria; Moraxellales; Moraxellaceae.